CCCUUAGAUGUUCUGGGCUGCACGCGCGCUACACUGACGCACGCAACAGGUGCCUGCUCCGAGAGGACUGGGUAAUCAUUUGAGUGUGCGUCGUGAUGGGGAUAGAAUAUUGUAAUUAAUACUCUUCAACGAGGAAUUCCUAGUAAGCGCCAGUCAGCAGCUUGCGCUGAUUACGUCCCUGCCCUUUGUACACACCGCCCGUCGCUCCUACCGAUGGGUGAUCCGGUGAAUGAUUCGGACUUCAGCGGCUCCCCUGGGGUGCGCCGGAGAAAGUUUUGUGAACCUUAUCACUUGGAGGAAGGAGAAGUCGUAACA
This 315-nucleotide ribosomal RNA is filed under the name uncultured eukaryote. Its description in RNAcentral is "partial 18S ribosomal RNA". It matches the Rfam family "Eukaryotic small subunit ribosomal RNA", at positions 1470 to 1796 of the family's 1831-position model. The record is from RNAcentral.